CUUAUGCCGGCGACCGGCGGACGGGUGCGUAACGCGUAUGUAACCUACCUUUGACAGGGGGAUAACAUCGAGAAAUUGGUACUAAUACCCCAUAACACCACCGGAGGCAUCUUCGGUGGUUGAAAACUCAGGUGGUCAGAGAUGGACAUGCGUUGUAUUAGCUAGUUGGUGAGGUAACGGCUCACCAAGGCGACGAUACAUAGGGGGACUGAGAGGUCAACCCCCCACAUUGGUACUGAGACACGGACCAAACUCCUACGGAAGGCAGCAG
RNAcentral lists this ribosomal RNA (271 nucleotides) under uncultured bacterium. RNAcentral's name for it is "partial 16S ribosomal RNA". It matches the Rfam family "Bacterial small subunit ribosomal RNA", at positions 78 to 354 of the family's 1533-position model. The record is from RNAcentral.